Molecule: transfer-messenger RNA, 356 nt
Filed under: Chloroflexota bacterium
Lineage: Bacteria; Bacillati; Chloroflexota
Description: Chloroflexi bacterium transfer-messenger RNA
Rfam family: transfer-messenger RNA
About the family: Bacterial tmRNA, also known as 10Sa RNA or SsrA, is named for its dual tRNA and mRNA-like properties.
Source: RNAcentral
GGGGACGCGUGGCUUCGACAGGGGAAGCCUCCGCGGGACUGCAGGUCGAGGCGCCAUCUACCCUCGCUAAACCGGUGGCAACCACAAUAACAGGCAAGCAAGAGCUAGCCCUAGCCGCCUAACCGCGGCUACGUUCACCCGUUUCGCUCCUCGACGGGGCGGGAUGAGCGACGACACUCGAGGUGCUGUCCGACGGACGCCGAUAAGAAGGACAAAAGACUCAUCGGCUGGCCACCGACAUGACCGACGCCGGUUAGGGCGGUCGGAGGCGAGAUACAAGUACCGGCUACACCUGUAGACGUUCUAGUCCGGAGUUUCUUCUGGACGGGGAGUUCGACCCUCCCCCGUCUCCACCA